Long non-coding RNA from Exaiptasia diaphana, 508 nucleotides. RefSeq lists it as uncharacterized. The record is from RefSeq and is a predicted model, not a curated record. Lineage: Eukaryota; Metazoa; Cnidaria; Anthozoa; Actiniaria; Aiptasiidae. The transcript has 5 exons.
AUAACAUGGCGGACAGGGUUGCAAAUUUGCCAAUAGUUGACAAAUUCCGAGUAAWAGAAUGUGUUUCUUAAAGUUUAAAUGCUUAUAAAAGCAUCAUGGAAUUUGUCAACACAGAAGACCCAUUAAGGAUUAUUUAACAAAAGCAGAAGCUGUCCAAAAAUUAAAGGAAAGAGAAAUACAACUAUCUCAAUACGAGUACCAUUGCCAAGCAAGUUGUCCUUUUAUGAUUACGUAUUUAUUUUUGAUACAUAUGCAUUUUUCUUCCAAAGCAAACGGUCUUUCUUAAUUGUUGUACUUGCAGAGGUUUAAUAAAGUCUCUCCCAAUAUUUGUCCAUGAGCUGAGCCCACAGCACAGAUGACUGGAGUGCUUCCACACAUGCUGACCCAUAUAUCCAUCCCUACAUGCAUUGCGUCACAAAGUUUCCCGCGGGUCAUAACAAAGACUAUAGUUUGCACAAGAAAGUGAUGUCACAUUGCCAUUCAUGUUGAUUUAUGAAUUCAACUAACA